Small nuclear RNA from Polyodon spathula (Mississippi paddlefish), 119 nucleotides. RefSeq annotates it as U5 spliceosomal RNA. Lineage: Eukaryota; Metazoa; Chordata; Actinopteri; Acipenseriformes; Polyodontidae. The transcript has a single exon. The record is from RefSeq and is a predicted model, not a curated record.
AUGCUCUGGUUUCUUUUGAAAUUGUACAAAUCUUUUGCCUUUUACUAAUGAUUUCUGUGGAGAGGAAUAUUCUACAAAUGUUUUCUGCUAAUUUUUUGAUGCCCUGUUUUUGCAUGGUA